This is a long non-coding RNA of Ficedula albicollis (Collared flycatcher), 1453 nucleotides long. RefSeq lists it as uncharacterized. The transcript has 3 exons. The record is from RefSeq and is a predicted model, not a curated record. NCBI's taxonomy places the organism in Eukaryota, Metazoa, Chordata, Aves, Passeriformes, Muscicapidae.
UGUCGCUGCCUCCCCCGUGCCCGUCCGGCGCGGGCGUCGGGCUGGCUGAGAUGUCCCGAUUUCCCCCGCCCCCGCGGGGCUGGUCCUGCUCCAGGCGCCGCCGCGGUGGCGCGGGCAGAGCUGCGGUGCCGGUGCCGCUCUCCCUCCCGCGGCGCAGAGCGAACCUGUGAGCGGCCCUGACACCGGCCCGGUGCUGGAAAUCAUCACCCCAGAGCUCGCCCUGCCCAUGGCCGGGCUGGAACUGGGUCAGGAGCGGACGGCCCCCCUGAACUCUGUUGUUUAUGGAGGAAAGCAUUCAUCCAUGGUUUGAAGUGUCAGUGCUACCAUCAGCUCAAGCCUUGAACUCCCACAUUUGCAUUUACCAGGCCUUGUACAGCCAGCAGCUCAGCCUGACCCAGCCACCUGCUCACUUCUUCCACAGUAGGAUGGAGAAGAGAAUCAGAAGGGUAAAAGUGAAAAAACUCUUGGGUUGAGACAAAGACAGUUUAAUAAGGAAAGCAGAGGCCAAGCAAAACAAAAUAAGAAGAUAAUUCACUACUUCCCAUGGAGAGGCAGGUGUUCAGUCAUCUCUAGGGAAGUAGGGCUCCAUCACACAUAACAGUGACUUGGGAAGACAAAUGCCACCACUCUGAAUUUUUUAGUUCCCCCUGUUUUUUUAAGUUCCUCUCAGCUGUAUGUGCUGAGAAUGUAACCAUAUGGUGUGGAGAAUCCCUGUGGCCAGCUGGGGUCAGCUGUCCAGCUGUGACCCCUCACAACUCCUUGUCCACCCCCAGCCUCCUCCCUGGUGGGAUGAGGAGCAGAAAAAGCCCUGACUGUGCAAGCUCUGCUGAACAAUAAGGAAAAUAUCCCUGUGCUAUCAGCACUGUUUCCAGCACAAAUGCAAAACACAGCCCCACAUGAGCUACUAUGAAGAAAAUUAACUCUAUCCUGGCCAAAACCAGCCCACCUGCUAUUAUCUUCAUGUAGAGAAAUAAGGAACAUGGAAACACAAGUGCAAGAAGGAAUGACAAUGAGAACCAGGAGGUAAAAUUGUCAGUGCUUUCUCUGCAGUGACUCAGGAACUCAAAGAGAAGUAAGAACUUCUGUUAACAUCAGCAGAAGAACAAUGUUCUGAUUCCCUGUCUUUGUGGGUUCUAUUUCAUUGAAGAGGUGCAGCUGUCAUUGCUGACAUCUUCUCAGAGAGCUAGGAAUCCCCACAGCUUGAAGAAGAAGCUAGAAAUUAUCUGCUGCCUCAGGUAUCAACUUCAGCAGCAGAGAAAGGCAGGACCAAGUCUGCCAGAAGGGAACUACCGACAUGCAGAUGAGGCAGAACUGGCAACAUAUGUGGCAACAGAAGACACUGAACACUUCUACAUUCAUGGCACCAGGAUAUUUUGAUGUUUUCUAAUUACAUUCCUGUUGCUUUCUACUAUUUACUCUUUAGUCCUCUAGUGUGUAAAUAGAGAGAGGGACU